Molecule: long non-coding RNA, 1596 nt
Organism: Tympanuchus pallidicinctus (lesser prairie-chicken)
Lineage: Eukaryota; Metazoa; Chordata; Aves; Galliformes; Phasianidae
Exons: 3
Source: RefSeq, a predicted model, not a curated record
AACCAAAACACUUUUAUUUAUGGAACUGAUUGUAGGUUGGGUGUAGUUAGCUAGUAAGCAGAUGAUCACAGAUCUGUAAGGGUUUGAAGGGGACCUCUAGAGAUCUAUUGCAUCCAACUUCCCAGCAAAGCAGGCUCUGUACAGCAGGCUGCACAGGUCAAUGUACAGGCGGGUUUUGAAUAUUUUCAGAGAAGGAGAAUCCACAACCCAUCUGGGCAGCCUGUUCCAGUGUUCUGUCACCCUUACUCUGAAGAAGUUCCUUCACGUAUUGGUGCAGAACUUAUGUUCAAGUUUAUGGCUGUUUCCUCUUAUCCCAUCCCCACAGACUGUUGAAAAGAGAUUGGCCAUGUCCCUUUGACUCCCACACUUGAGAUAUUUAUAAACUGUAGUAAGAUCUCCUGUCAGUCAUCUUUAUUCAAGGCAGAAUAGACCCAGUUUGCUCAACCUUUCCUCAUAGGGGAGAUGCUUCAGGCCCUUUAUCAUCUUUGAGACCCUCUGCUGGACUCUAUCCAGAAAAUUCCUGUCUUUUUUUUGUUCUGAGGAGUCCAGGAACUAUGCACAGUACUCAAAGUGAGGCCUGACCAGGGUAGAGUAUUACCUCCCUUGACCUGCUGGCCACGUUCCUUUUAAUGCACCCCAGGAUCCCCUGGGCCUUCUUGGCCACCAGGGCACACUGCUGACUCAUUGACAGUUUGUCAUCCACCAGGACCACCAGGUCCUUCUCCACAGAGCUCCUCUCCAGCAGGUCAUGUCCCAGCCUGUACUGACACUCAUGGUUACUCCUUCCCAGGUGCAAGACUCUACACUUGCUUUUGUUAAACUUCAUCUGGGUUCUUGCUGCCCAGCUCUCCAGUCUGUCCAGGUUUCACUAAAUGGCAAGCGCAGCCUUCUGGUGUGUCAGUCAUUCCUCCCAGCUUCGUAUCAUUGGUGUACUUGCUGAGGGUGAACACUAUGGCACUGUCCCUUCAUCAAAGUCAUUGAUGAAGAUACUGAACAAGACCGGACCCAGCACCAACCCCUGUUGAACACCGUUUCAUUGUCAGGAUGUUGUGGGAGAUGGUAUCAGAAGCCUUGCUGAAGCCAAGGUAGAUGACAUCCUCUGCUCUCUCCUCCCAUCUUGGUGAUGCCAUCAAGAAGGCUACCAGGUUGAUUGUGAUUUUUCCCUUGGUGAAUCCAUGCUGACUAUUGCUGAUGACCUUUUUCUCUUCCAAUUGCUUGGAGAUGGCAUCUAGAGCAAGCUGUUCCUUGUGGUGACAGAGAGCUCAUCUAUGAACAAUGUUUAGCGUGCACUGGAUGGAUAAAGAAGUGGAGACGUCCUUAGAAGAUAUGUUAAGUGAGAAUAGUGCAGUCUCAAAUGCUCAAAAAGUGACCAGCUGUGACAGUAUCUCCAGUUUAUAUGUGAGUGAAGAUGUUACAGGUUGCUGAUUGUUCUUGUUGCAUGGCAACUGCUUUUUUUUGCUGCUCAGGGAAUAAAGCCCUCAUUAGUGUACAGUAGAUGACUUUUUUUUUUUCUGAUGAUUUGAGAACAGGAAUGCUAGAAGUAAGCUGCAUGAAUCCUGUGCAUUUUGUGAGAUCUAAGGCUGUCUAGUGAAGGCA